AGUGAACGCUGGCGGUAGGCCUAACACAUGCGAGUCGAACGGCAGCACAGUAAGAGCUUGCUCUUACGGGUGGCGAGUGGCGGACGGGUGAGGAAUACAUCGGAAUCUACUUUUUCGUGGGGGAUAACGUAGGGAAACUUACGCUAAUACCGCAUACGACCUACGGGUGAAAGCAGGGGAUCUUCGGACCUUGCGCGAUUGAAUGAGCCGAUGUCGGAUUAGCUAGUUGGCGGGGUAAAGGCCCACCAAGGCGACGAUCCGUAGCUGGUCUGAGAGGAUGAUCAGCCAAACUGGAACUGAGACACGGUCCAGACUCCUACGGGAGGCAGCAGUGGGGAAUAUUGGACAAUGGGCGCAAGCCUGAUCCAGCCAUAACGCGUGGGUGAAGAAGGCCUUCGGGUUGUAAAGCCCUUUUGUUGGGAAAGAAAAGCAGCAGGUUAAUACCCCGCUGUUCUGACGGUACCCAAAGAAUAAGCACCGGCUAACUUCGUG
Molecule: ribosomal RNA, 492 nt
Filed under: uncultured bacterium
Lineage: Bacteria
Description: partial 16S ribosomal RNA
Rfam family: Bacterial small subunit ribosomal RNA
Source: RNAcentral